AGCUUGCUCCCCUGAUUCAGCGGCGGACGGGUGAGUAACACGUGGGCAACCUGCCUGUAAGAUCGGGAUAACUCCGGGAAACCGGGGCUAAUACCGGAUGGUUCCUUCCUCCGCAUGGAGGAAGGCGGAAAGACGGUUUCGGCUGUCACUUACAGAUGGGCCCGCGGCGCAUUAGCUAGUUGGUGGGGUAACGGCCCACCAAGGCAACGAUGCG
This 214-nucleotide ribosomal RNA is filed under the name Bhargavaea beijingensis. RNAcentral's name for it is "partial 16S ribosomal RNA". It matches the Rfam family "Bacterial small subunit ribosomal RNA", at positions 77 to 283 of the family's 1533-position model. Lineage: Bacteria; Bacillati; Bacillota; Bacilli; Caryophanales; Caryophanaceae. The record is from RNAcentral.